This 64-nucleotide transfer RNA is filed under the name Tenebrionoidea sp. 7 KM-2017. RNAcentral describes it as "tRNA-Tyr". It matches the Rfam family "tRNA". From Rfam's summary of the family: Transfer RNA (tRNA) molecules are approximately 80 nucleotides in length. Their secondary structure includes four short double-helical elements and three loops (D, anti-codon, and T loops). Lineage: Eukaryota; Metazoa; Arthropoda; Insecta; Coleoptera. The record is from RNAcentral.
GAUAAAAUGGCUGAAGAAAAGCAAUAAAUUGUAAAUUUAUGUAUGAAUGUAGAUUCUUUUAUCA